RNAcentral lists this ribosomal RNA (459 nucleotides) under uncultured bacterium. Its description in RNAcentral is "partial 16S ribosomal RNA". It matches the Rfam family "Bacterial small subunit ribosomal RNA", at positions 338 to 795 of the family's 1533-position model. The record is from RNAcentral.
CCUACGGGUGGCAGCAGUGAGGAAUAUUGGUCAAUGGGCGCGAGCCUGAACCAGCCAAGUCGCGUGAGGGAAGACGGUUCUAUGGAUUGUAAACCUCUUUUGUCGGGGAGCAAAAGACGCCACGCGUGGCGUUCCGAGAGUACCCGAAGAAAAAGCAUCGGCUAACUCCGUGCCAGCAGCCGCGGUAAUACGGAGGAUGCGAGCGUUAUCCGGAUUUAUUGGGUUUAAAGGGUGCGCAGGCGGAAGAUCAAGUCAGCGGUAAAAUUGAGAGGCUCAACCUCUUCGAGCCGUUGAAACUGGUUGUCUAGAGUGAGGGCGAGGUAGGCGGAAUGCGUGGUGUAGCGGUGAAAUGCAUAGAGAUCACGCAGAACACCGAUUGCGAAGGCAGCAUACCGGCGCACAACUGACGUUCAUGCACGAAAGUGUGGGUAUCGAACAGGAUUAGAUACCCUUGUAGUC